Stylophora pistillata is the source of this 1207-nucleotide long non-coding RNA. Lineage: Eukaryota; Metazoa; Cnidaria; Anthozoa; Scleractinia; Pocilloporidae. The record is from RefSeq and is a predicted model, not a curated record.
UGAUGUUAUAUUUAGUUGUACUGCGUUGCUCUUUUUCCUUGAGUUGCUGGGGAAAUAUGGUUUUGAUCCGAAAUAUAAUGUGGCUCAAACUUGGCACUUCAGGAGGGAAAGCGAAGUGUUAUCUGGUUUUGCUGUGGUGGUCAGCAUUUGUGACAAGAACGUCAAGAUCAAAUGAAGUUUGCAAUGAGUUUGUUUACCUUGGAGGAGAUUUUGGGACACAUAAAGGAAGUUUCUCAAGUCCUGGCUAUCCCACAGAGACUUAUCCAAAUAGAGAGCGUUGAACUUGGAUAGUCAAAGUACCUCUGGAUUACCGGGUAGCACUCUACUUCAGCGAUUUUGAUGUGGAAUCAUGCGCCACUCAAACAGAAAAUUGUACCUGCGACUACGUGGAAAUUUCUGAUGGACAACUUUUAAUUGAUAGGCGGAUUUCAAAAUUAUGAGGAAAUAAAAUACCUCCGAACGUUUUAUCCAGUGGGCGAUUCCUCAGGAUUGACUUGGUAACAGACGCAACAAAUCCGAUGAAAGGAUUUAAUGCGCACUUUUACUCUGUAUCUUCAGAUGGGUCCACACUGUCUACCGUAGAUGUUCAGAAAAAUCCAAAAUCAGUACCACCUGCCACCGACACACCUAAGAAAGGUGGCAGCAGCACGACAAUGAUUGCCGUGAUUUGCAGUCUUCUUGGUGUCGUUCUGAUCGGGGUUUUUCUUCUGCUGGUCCUUGUUAAGAAAAAACACGCUCAGGACAAUCGACGAAGAUCCCCACAGUUGGGCAGGUCCGUUUCCAGUACUACGUCUCAAAGGAACAAUUUGCCUUCAGAGCCUCCUCCACCAUAUGCAUCUGUAGUAAACGCCUCUCCCACAAUUAGAUAAGAAAUAAGAAAAUGACUAGGGUUUUGUCUACGGCACAAAAAUGGUUGAUCGUGUGAACAGGAAGCUACUACAGGUGAAGGCGGGCUUCAACCGUCAAAAGAGUUGAAGCCCGGCAACUCACAUUCACUUGGAAAAGAUGAAGGCACGGUCAACACUUGAUAAGAAACACGACUGAAUGGGUAUACAGGUAAAGAUAAAACAACUACAAAAGCUUUCAACUAGUUCAUCGUAUUCAAAGUGAAAUACAGACAAAAAUCAAGCGUUGCUUUUGAAAAUGCUGCCAUUAAUAUUUUUUGUUUGCGCUAAGAAUAUGAAUACAAUAAAAUCUUGCAAAUAAG